GCUUUGGCACGGCUACGGCCUGCCAAGCCGACCUCAAAACGUGGUCAGCCCGGUUAUCCUGCUUCGGCAAACAACCUGCUGGGUCUGGCAGAACGUGGAGUAGCCCUAGGGCGGAACACGGAGCCAGC
The submitters of this non-coding RNA (128 nucleotides) gave its source as unclassified sequences. The record is from Rfam.